GUCUGACUACUCGGAACACUGGACUUUAUUCACACAGCGCGAACCACACUGUGGUCAGGAACAUCUUUGGUUAUAAGUGAGAUAUCUACCAAAGACUUACAAUCUACAAUAUGAAGAUGAGAACACAAGCGGUCUUGCUCGCUGCCUGCGCUGGCCUUGUCAUUUGCGUUGCACAGGCCGACGAAUUAUCAGAAAAUUGCAACUUUCUUGACGAACACCUGGAGCGCGCCAUCGACUCUUUCAUUGAAAAGCUUCCGGCAGGGCGUUCCAAGACACUGGAAAAUGAAUUCCCGCCUUUUAUAUCCAAAAACAUUGAAUUCAAGUUAUUGGGCCUCAACUCCCUUCGUCCCUUCGGUCCAUUCUUGACCUUCUGCAGAAACGGUAGCAGAUUUGUGCAAUUUGAUCUUGUCAACAAGAGGCCCCUGAUUCUCGUGGGAACGCAGACUAACGACACUAAUACCAAUGAAAUUUUGAGUCGCGCUCUGCUGGUACGAUUCACUGGGCAGUUCGAAGUGGAAGGUGCUGGGGAGGACCUGAAGAUCCAUUUCAAAGAAAAUGUGCCCGUAUCCAUGGUCGGACUGAACAUGAUACUGAGGGCUGCAGACAAAGAAAAAAAAGAGGACGCUCGAAUCGUUCUCAGCACACCAAAUCUUCACUUGCUACUCUCCCUCUGGAACGGCAUGCUUUACGGUGUAGUGGAUACACUUUUCACCGAAAUAUUAGGCAAAAAAUAAAGACCUUCCGGUCAGAA
Dermacentor albipictus is the source of this 751-nucleotide long non-coding RNA. RefSeq lists it as uncharacterized. The record is from RefSeq and is a predicted model, not a curated record. NCBI's taxonomy places the organism in Eukaryota, Metazoa, Arthropoda, Arachnida, Ixodida, Ixodidae.